GGGUAAGAUCGUACCAGCACUAAUGCACCGGCUCCCAUCAAAACUCCGCAGUUUAAGCGUGCUUGGGCGAGAGUAGUACUAGGAUGGGUCACUUGGUGAGAAGUCCUCGUGUUGCACCCC
Non-coding RNA from Gossypium arboreum, 120 nucleotides. The record is from Rfam. NCBI's taxonomy places the organism in Eukaryota, Viridiplantae, Streptophyta, Magnoliopsida, Malvales, Malvaceae.